CAUGCAAAGUCGAACGGUAGAGAGAAGCUUGCUUCUCUUGAGAGCGGCGGACGGGUGAGUAAUGCCUAGGAAUCUGCCUGGUAGUGGGGGAUAACGCUCGGAAACGGACGCUAAUACCGCAUACGUCCUACGGGAGAAAGCAGGGGACCUUUCGGGCCUUUGCGCUAUCAGAUGAGCCUAGGUCAGGAUUAGCUAGUUGGUGUGGUAAUGGCUCACCAAGGCGACGAUCCGUAACUGGUCUGAGAGGAUGAUCAGUCACACUGGAACUGAGACACGGUCCAGACUCCUGCGGGAGGCAGCAGUGGGGAAUAUUGGACAAUGGGCGAAAGCCUGAUCCAGCCAUGCCGCGUGUGUGAAGAAGGUCUUCGGAUUGUAAAGCACUUUAAGUUGGGAGGAAGGGCAGUAACCUAAUACGUUGCUGUCUUGACGUUACCGACAGAAUAAGCACCGGCUAACUCUGUGCCAGCAGCCGCGGUAAUACAGAGGGUGCAAGCGUUAAUCGGAAUUACUGGGCGUAAAGCGCGCGUAGGUGGUUUGUUAAGUUGGAUGUGAAAUCCCCGGGCUCAACCUGGGAACUGCAUUCAAAACUGACAAGCUAGAGUAUGGUAGAGGGUGGUGGAAUUUCCUGUGUAGCGGUGAAAUGCGUAGAUAUAGGAAGGAACACCAGUGGCGAAGGCGACCACCUGGACUGAUACUGACACUGAGGUGCGAAAGCGUGGGGAGCAAACAGGAUUAGAUACCCUGGUAGUCCACGCCGUAAACGAUGUCAACUAGCCGUUGGGAGCCUUGAGCUCUUAGUGGCGCAGCGUACGCAUUAAGUGACCGCCCUGGGAUUCGA
This 838-nucleotide ribosomal RNA is filed under the name Pseudomonas migulae. Its description in RNAcentral is "bacterial SSU rRNA". It matches the Rfam family "Bacterial small subunit ribosomal RNA", at positions 54 to 884 of the family's 1533-position model. Lineage: Bacteria; Pseudomonadati; Pseudomonadota; Gammaproteobacteria; Pseudomonadales; Pseudomonadaceae. The record is from RNAcentral.